GAGCCGUCACACGGAAUCGA
This 20-nucleotide small nuclear RNA is filed under the name Arabidopsis thaliana (thale cress). RNAcentral's name for it is "snRNA_18150". The record is from RNAcentral. Lineage: Eukaryota; Viridiplantae; Streptophyta; Magnoliopsida; Brassicales; Brassicaceae.